AACGAACGCUGGCGGCAUGCCUAACACAUGCAAGUCGAACGAAGUCUUCGGACUUAGUGGCGCACGGGUGCGUAACGCGUGGGAAUCUGCCCUUGGGUACGGAAUAACUCAGAGAAAUUUGUGCUAAUACCGUAUAAUGUCUUCGGACCAAAGAUUUAUCGCCCAAGGAUGAGCCCGCGUAAGAUUAGCUAGUUGGUGGGGUAAAAGCCUACCAAGGCGACGAUCUUUAGCUGGUCUGAGAGGAUGAUCAGCCACACUGGGAAUGAGACACGGCCCAGACUCCUACGGGAGGCAGCAGUGGGGAAUAUUGGACAAUGGGCGAAAGCCUGAUCCAGCAAUGCCGCGUGAGUGAUGAAGGCCCUAGGGUUGUAAAGCUCUUUUAACAGGGAUGAUAAUGACAGUACCUGGAGAAUAAGCUCCGGCUAACUCCGUG
This 433-nucleotide ribosomal RNA is filed under the name uncultured bacterium. RNAcentral describes it as "partial 16S ribosomal RNA". It matches the Rfam family "Bacterial small subunit ribosomal RNA", at positions 29 to 507 of the family's 1533-position model. The record is from RNAcentral.